Condylura cristata (star-nosed mole) is the source of this 445-nucleotide long non-coding RNA. RefSeq lists it as uncharacterized. NCBI's taxonomy places the organism in Eukaryota, Metazoa, Chordata, Mammalia, Eulipotyphla, Talpidae. The record is from RefSeq and is a predicted model, not a curated record. The transcript has 3 exons.
AGCACUCUGAAGAAACUGUUCUACUGUCUUCUGGCUUCUGUUGUUGCUCUUGAGAAGUCUGCCACCUGUGUCAUUGUUGUUCCUUUUACUACAGAAAGUUUGCAUUAUAUCUUUGACCUAUAGCAGUGCCUGAGAAAUGAUAAAGCUAUUCUUCUGGGAUGAACAAAUAGAAUUGGCCUUGGAUAGAAGAAAAAAAGAUGUCAUAAGAGAAGACAUGAAACAGGGCAUAAAGAAACAAAACAGACUGGGAAAUAAACAAAAAGCAGCUUGCUAUCUUGGUUGAAAAGGAUAAGGAGGACUAACGAAGAUAACCAUGACUAGCAUACUAGGAAGCACUAUGCAAGAGACAAGGCCAAUGGAGAGACUUGCCUUCAAAGUGUGCAAAUAAGAAUUCAUCUUCAAAAAAGGACACUUACAAAAUAGAAUUAUUCCAAUGGGAAAUGAG